Molecule: ribosomal RNA, 253 nt
Filed under: uncultured bacterium
Lineage: Bacteria
Description: partial 16S ribosomal RNA
Rfam family: Bacterial small subunit ribosomal RNA
Source: RNAcentral
UACGUAGGGUGCGAGCGUUGUCCGGAAUUACUGGGCGUAGAGAGCUCGUAGGUGGUUUGUCGCGUUGUUCGUGAAAACUCACAGCUCAACUGUGGGCGUGCGGGCGAUACGGGCAGACUGGAGUACUGCAGGGGAGACUGGAAUUCCUGGUGUAGCGGUGGAAUGCGCAGAUAUCAGGAGGAACACCGGUGGCGAAGGCGGGUCUCUGGGCAGUAACUGACGCUGAGGAGCGAAAGCGUGGGGAGCGAACAGG